AGAGUUUGAUGCUGGCUCAGGAUGAACGCUGGCGGUAUGCCUAAUACAUGCAAGUCGAGCGAGGUAGCUUGCUACCUAGCGGCGAACGGGUGAGUAACAAGUUGGUAAUCUACCUUUCAGUUGGGGAUACCCAGGCGAAAGCUUGGCUAAUACCGUAAUACGUAAUAGUCUGAAAUGGCUAUUAUAAAAGGCCCUUCGGGGUCGCUGAUUGAUGAGCCUGCUUUUGAUUAGCUAGUUGGUGAGAUAAAAGCCCACCAAGGCGAGGAUCAAUAGCCGACCUGAGAGGGUAAUCGGCCACAAUGGAACUGAGACACGGUCCAUACUCCUACGGGAGGCAGCAGUAGGGAGUCUUCGACAAUGGGGGAAACCCUGAUCGAGCAAUACCGCGUGAGUGAUGAAGGUCUUCGGAUUGUAAAACUCUGUUGUGAGGGAUAAAUGGUUAAGAUAGGAAAUGAUUUUAAUUUGAUAGUACCUUACUAGAAAGCAACGACUAACUUCGUGCCAGCAGUCGCGGUAAUACGAAGGUUACGAGCGUUAUCCGGAAUUAUUGGGCGUAAAGAGUGAGCAGGCGGCUUGCUAAGUUUGAGGUUAAAUCGUUGGGCUUAACCCAAUCUCGCUUCAAAAACUGGCAGGCUAGAGUAUGUGAGAGGUAAGUAGAACUCCAUGUGUAGCGGUGAAAUGCGUAGAUAUAUGGAAGAAUACCAGUGGCGAAGGCGGCUUACCAGCACAAUACUGACGCUCAGUCACGAAAGUAUAGGGAGCAAAUAGGAUUAGAUACCCUAGUAGUCUAUACCGUAAACGAUGAUUACUAAAUGUUCGAGAGAUCGAGCGCUGAAGCUAACGCAUUAAGUAAUCCGCCUGGGAAGUACGAUCGCAAGAUUGAAACUUAAAGCAAUUGACGGGGUCCCGCACAAGCAGUGGAGCAUGUGGUUUAAUUCGACGCUACGCGAAAAACCUUACCAGGUCUUGACAUGUUAGUUAAUAGUGUUGAAAGACAUGAAAGUGUGCUAUCACAGGUGGUGCAUGGUUGUCGUCAGCUCGU
Molecule: ribosomal RNA, 1042 nt
Filed under: human gut metagenome
Description: bacterial SSU rRNA
Rfam family: Bacterial small subunit ribosomal RNA
Source: RNAcentral